CAAGGCCAGAACCCCGACUGCCAUUCCUGGACGGGAGCCACCAACACCCGCAAAAUCGAUCGGAUUGUGGCAAAAUACCGAGCUAAAGUUCCUGGCACGCAGUACCAGCUCAGGAAAGGUUCAUCUCUUCCUCCUCCGCAGAUUCAGCCUGGGACGCUUGCUGUUUCCGAACCUCUGUUGCCACCUAUCCCAGUUUGGAGGGAAUUUUCCCAAGGAUGGUGAAGAAGGGAUUUCCACACGCCGCCUCACUCAGCCCCGCACCCCUGGCCACCAGCCAGGACUUAGGGUGUAGUUAAGGAUCUUUCAAUUAGAAGGGAGGCUUCUGAUUCCCAAAAGCACUCAAAAUAUUUAAGGAAGUGCUUUUUAUAAUCAGUCCUAGAGCCUUGCUGCACUGGAUACUCCUGUUAAUUAAUUUCUUCUCCUUUGACAUUUUAAGUGCUAAUUAUAGGAGAAGGUGAUUAACACUGAGAAAGGAGGAGGGGUGUGUGUGUGUGUGUGUGUGUGUGUGUGUGUGUUUUUAAUCAUGACACAAAUUUCCCCCAGUGGAAAGUGACAUGUUUCUGGAGAUCCAGGGAAUUUAAACCAAUGAAUACAUAAAAACAGUCACAUGAGUGAUGACUAACAGUAGCAGUAGACAGGCCACCACUCUUCCUUGCCAUAGUCAUCCAAAAUGAAAUGAGCAUCUUUUGAAAACCUAAGCCUCAUUCUACUCCUGUCCCUCUUUUGUCACUCCUAUCUUCCUGUUUUCCAGGCUUCAUGACCACACUGCUGUAGGAAGCCAUAAGUUGGAAAUCAACGGGCCUGGCUUGAAGUGUGGCCUUAGGCAACACCGUUCUCAUCUACAUCUGGAUUCUCCAACAAAGCUGGGAAAAAAACGAUCCAAGGGAAGCCAAUCAAAGAGCCUGGAUUGCCAGUCUUCCCUGCUGCGAUCUCCGCCUGCGAUUCUCCAGGGGAAAUGUCCUUUAUGACCUUACAGCUCACCUGGAACCCUCCACCUAGGGCCCGAGGCAGCACAUCCUCUCGUGCCCGGGCACUUCCAGGCAUUGCCCUGAGUACUGGGCACUUCACACACUGGGCUGGACCACUCACCGGAGUGAAUAAGGAGGCUUGAAGCUGUCCUGGUACAACAAUGGAAUGAAGCGCUAGUCUCAGCUCAGCCACUUGGAAUAUGACUCCAACUCUCACAUUUCUGUGGGGUGUAUUCAUUUCAGCUUUUUGUUUGGUGCUAUGGGGAGGGAAGGGCCCUCAGACUGGCAUCCUUUUUCUUCCAGGAUGAUGAUGAAUAUUAUGAAAGUCUGAGGCUGUUUUUAAAAUUCUGCUCUAAUACGU
Molecule: long non-coding RNA, 1329 nt
Filed under: Homo sapiens (human)
Lineage: Eukaryota; Metazoa; Chordata; Mammalia; Primates; Hominidae
Description: HSALNT0385889
Source: RNAcentral